GGCUCUAUGGUGUAAUGGUUAGCACUCUGGACUCUGAAUCCAGCGAUCCGAGUUCAAAUCUCCGUAGGACCU
RNAcentral lists this transfer RNA (72 nucleotides) under Saccoglossus kowalevskii. RNAcentral describes it as "tRNA-Gln". It matches the Rfam family "tRNA". From Rfam's summary of the family: Transfer RNA (tRNA) molecules are approximately 80 nucleotides in length. Their secondary structure includes four short double-helical elements and three loops (D, anti-codon, and T loops). The record is from RNAcentral. Lineage: Eukaryota; Metazoa; Hemichordata; Enteropneusta; Harrimaniidae.